Molecule: ribosomal RNA, 253 nt
Filed under: uncultured bacterium
Lineage: Bacteria
Description: partial 16S ribosomal RNA
Rfam family: Bacterial small subunit ribosomal RNA
Source: RNAcentral
UACGUAGGGUGCGAGCGUUGUCCGGAAUUAUUGGGCGUAAAGAGCUCGUAGGCGGCUUGUCGCGUCGGAUGUGAAAGCCCGGGGCUUAACCCGGGAAUGGCAGUCAAAACUACAAGUCUUGAGUGCCUGAGAGGAUGGCGGAAUUCCCGGUGUAGUAGUGAAAUACGUAGAUAUCGGGAAGAACACCUGAGGCGAAGGCGGCUAUCUGGCGGUGCACUGACGCUGAGGCGCGAAAGCGUGGGGAGCAAACAGG